RNAcentral lists this long non-coding RNA (5275 nucleotides) under Homo sapiens (human). Its description in RNAcentral is "HSALNT0099222". The record is from RNAcentral. Lineage: Eukaryota; Metazoa; Chordata; Mammalia; Primates; Hominidae.
CUCUGUUGCAGCGCUGGUAAAGCUCUAAGAAAGCACAGUUAAGCAUCAGGAGGGUGUCACUGAAGAAGGGAGACUUAGGUUGAACUCCAGCUGGGACUCAGAUGUGAGCAGUUGCCAUGAGGCUCCUGAGAACUGUCUAGCUCCUGAGUGUGGUUCCCUCCCAGAAACUUCAUGAUGAUCAACCACACCUCACAUUUGCUUCAUUCAGUCUAUGGACCAGGAAGAAUUUUCUGUGACACAUUCAGGUUCUUACUCAUUUACAGAGUCACAGAUCUGUCAGCCUGGGAACCGGCCCCCAAAUGGAAGACCUAGGCAGUUCUGAUGGGUCCAUCUGCAAGGGGAGUCACAGAAGUGUGUGAUGAGGAGAGGAAGAGAUACAACAGAUGUCUUAUGAGAAGCAGAGGGAGGACCUCAAGAGACUGCCUGGCCCAGUCCCUCACUAGGCGUAAGAAACAAACUCACCCAUCCAAACCCGAAGAAUGGACUCAGAGACCCAGAGAACAGCGAAAGUGAGAUUUUUAAUAAACAGUCAGUCUUGCAAAAUCGGGUGUCUGACGGACAGGCACACCCAGCAGUUUCAACAAGCAAUUUGUCCACUAGUGUGCAGGCUCCUCCCCCAGUUUCCCACAGGCUGAGUACUAUGGGGUCACAACCUUCCUGGACGUCACCUAUUGAUUGUUAGGCAGGGGCUUUAGGUGUUUUUGUUUGUUUGUUUGUUUUUAGGGUUGUCUUGCUGCAUUUUGUCACAGCCCACAAUGCAUUGCAAUCCUAGUCAGCUCAGGGGCUCUUCAAGUAUUUCACUUACGACCUAAGUAGCUGGGCUGGCUGAUAAGAACAGACAAAGGGAGCUAUUUUGCAGGCUAGUAGUAAGCUUUCAUUUUAGACUAAACUUCUUCGGUUCUGGUGAAGGCAACUAAUGGGGGGUAAGCGGGGAAAGGGGGAGGCCUACAAGCAGGCAUCAGCUAUCCAAGCAGGGGCCUCGAAUAUCCUGUUUCUUCUGUAGUCUGCUGACCUAAGCCAAUUUAAGGCACUUUGUCUUGGAAAUGCAACACUGUAUACAUUAUGUCCUUCACUGGUGAAAAUGAGAGGGGCUGUGACUGACUCAGUCCCAUAGUCACAGGCACCGGAACAGUCCCCAGCCUGCCCCUUGACUCAGAGCCCCCAUCUCCAAACUGUGCCUCAGAUUUGGGAGCACUAACGCGAUAACUUUGACUUCUUUUGUGCUGUAGUGACCAGCCUUCUGAAAGUGCCCAGAAAUUCUCUCUGAAGUGUGUUUGAGGCCAUGGGACGGAGGGAAGUGGCCUUUUAGCAGUACUGGGCAGGCAGAAUUGGCAAGAGUAAUUGGAAAGCUAAGGUACCUCAGCAGCAAGAGGUCUGGGACCACAGAAGCAGGUCAGGAAGCUGUUUUGGGGCCACUACGACCUUUGGAUGUGGACUUUGCUUUCAGGCUUACACAGUGCCCGUAAGUGAGCUGCACUGCAGCCCUAGCCCUGCCACUUGUGAGUGAGCUGAUCUCAGCAGGGUGGUAUGCUCCCUGCUCCGUGCUCCCCUGCUUUGCAACACCACAGCCUGCGUGGUUAAUAUCCCGGAUGACAGUUGCUUGUUUUUAUUCCAACAUGACCAGUUAGAAGCAGGGCAACCGUGGACAAGGUGGUGAACCCCUUUGUACUUCUGUGUUUUCAGUUGAAAAAUGGAGACGUCAAGUUCCCUAGUCACAGAGCAGCUGUGAUGGGACCCACGUAAACAGCCCUGAUCAGUAGUGAAGAGCAACAUGUGGCACACAGGGCCUCCUGCACAAGCAACAGUCGCUGCUUGCUGUUACUGUGGGCUCCACGUUGGGAUCAGACACACCUGUCUUCAGUGGCUUGCAGUUGCAGCAAGGACCGAAUGUGAGUGAAAGCACUUUGUGCCUGGAAAUGGACAGAACAUUGAAAUAUGAUGCCCCGAAAAUCGUCCAGAAGACAGGUGUGGCCUGUGGGUGCUUGAUACAUGGUGGUGGCUUUGUUACUGAAUAACAGGGAGGUAUGAUUGCAAAGGUCACUGUUGCCUUCAAACUCUACAUUUUGGUUUGAAUUCCUUCUGAAACUUGCUUCUUGCACAUCUCUGCUCCUGUAGUCCAUCCACAAAGGGCCAUCUGAGGAAACUUGCUCUGCACCACGCUCCCCCAUGGUGCCAGGAACACAGCAGUGCACAAGACAGACAUGAGUCUGCUGGGAAAGAAACAUUAGGCAAAUACAGUCAUCCCUGGGAAUCUGUAGGAAAUUGCUUCCAGGGCCAUGGGUAAGACAUGAAAAUCUGCACAUACUCAAGUCCCAUAGUGAGUCCUGGGGACCGAAGGUUAUGAAAAGCCAGGCUUCCGUACGGGCAGAUUUAAAUCCUGAGAAUACUAUAUUUUCUAUCUGUGUUUGGUUGUGGAUACAAAACCCACGGACUGUAUUUUUUGGAAAAAAAAAUCCAUCUCUAAGUGGACCCUCGCAGUUCAAACCGGUGUUUAAGAGUCAACUGUAAUUUCAAAUUGGUAUCGCAACCUUAUUAAGACUGUCAUCUGGGAUUUGAUUUUAUCCUUCUUAGAAGCUAUUCAGUCAACCUGCUACUGUUUCCUGGAUGUUAUGUCCAGCCGCACUUCUGUGUCAGUUCCCCUCAGUCCCAGUUCCCUCACAGGUGACACAGCAGGCUCAGAUGAAUGCCGUGUGUGCAGCGUGAAGCGUGGAGCUUGGAGAAGGCGCUGUGCUUACAGCAAGCCAGAAGCCAGCCUGCUGUUUGCCUGGAGGAUCAUGGGGAGGGGUCAAUGUUACCUCACCUCUCAGAGUUAUCAGCUGGACCUGAGAAAUGGGCCAGCUAAGGGACACUCAGGGCCUUGCAGUUGUGGCAUGCUCAGCAAGGGACAGGGUGCAAGGAUGGCCUCUUCCAACAAAGACAUCAAAGGCUAUCUAUAUACAUCCAUGAUGCUAUCACUUUAAUACAACAUUUUCUUCUGGUUUUAUUCUUCCAGAAUUUGCCUAUGUACAUACAUAUUUUUGGAAUUGUAACCAUGGCAUAUAUAACACUUAACAUGCUGCUUUAUUCACUUAACUGUGUAUCCUAAGCAGUUCCCCAUACUUCCGCACAAUUUUCACAAUUAUCUUGCACAUUCCACUGUGUUCAUGGACCAUCAUGGUUGGACAUUUAGGUGGCUCCCACUUUUGUUCUUGGCCUGUCUUUCUGAAAACAUACGGUGAGCACAGUAAAGACAAGACACUGGAGCUGGGCAGAGCAGAUUCUGCCUGCCCGUGUGCUUUCUGGGCCCGCCUUCCAUCCCACUGCUCCCUUCAGCAUCCUCGGCCCAGGAGGAUGAGACUUUCGGGAGCCUCAGGAGCUUAUGCCCAGAGAAGAAAACACCUGGUUCUCAGCAUCCCACGUAGUAAUGAUGUCGAAUGCUCUUUCAUCUACACACAGGGUCUAUUCUAAAAGAAAACAUUACAGGCAGGCAGUACCAGACCACUGUGCUUGCAGCCCUCAUGAGAAGGCUCAGAAGACACAGGAGCUGCCCUGGGUGUGAAUUUCGUGUCCAUGCUGGCUUCUCGCAGUGGCCCUUGGCAUAGGUUGGGAUCUUGCAGCAAGAUUCUUCAUCGGUUUCUCCAUCUCUGAAGACUUCUUGCCAACAGCUGUACACGUGAAUAUAUUAUUUUCUCUUAUGCAGCUGUCUGUUUUACAUGAGUAGAAUGGAUGUGUGCUUCAGGGUCCCAGGAGAAAACACAUGCUGUGCCCAGACAAGACAGGAGCUGGGCUUAGAAAGGGCCCUGUUUACUCGAGGUGUGGCGGGGGGUUUAGCACCACAAAGGAAAGGGAAGUUGACUCCUACCCAUGUGACAGGGAAGCUUGUACCACUCUUACCUACACGGAGAGCCCAGUAUGAGAGGAGAGGUAGGUAGAAUGGUCUGCAUGGAGAGAGCUGGGGCAUCUGGGCCCAGGUAGCUCCAGGACAACUGUGCCAGCAGCUGCUCUACAGUCUCCUCCAGGAUCUCCAUCUACUGAGCCCACCUGGAAGCUGCAGGGUGGAGCUCUAGUGUCCAACCAGGUCCAUCUCCCAGAGUGCUCGGCAGGGCAGAGGAGCAUGGGCAGCAGUCGAAAAUAUCAGAAUACUCAAGGGAGUUAUUUUUUUUCUUAAUGUAACUUUCAUAAAGGAAAUGAAAGAAAUGUGGAGACUGAAAACAGUUGUCUGGUGUCUCAAUACUGCAUGCAGGUUCAACUACAUUCUAAGCAAGUUGACUGUUAUAAUACAUUUCACAUUUUCUGUGAUUUUGUUUGUGCUGAGACCUUAUGCAAUUACAAAGCAGAUUUUUUACACUAACCUACACUGAGAAAAGAAAACCACCGUUCCCCUUUUAAACAGGAGAGUGCCUCAAGUACACUCGGGAUCCCUCUCACCAAGCACAGCAAGGCUUGUGACUUCAAGCACACCAAGCUUGUGACUUUUUCUCCUACAAGGUGCACCUCGUUUUUUCUUACUGACAAAUUGGCUUUAAAGUAAAGUUAGUUCCCUAUCACACUGGCCCCCAAGACUCCAACUCCUGCUUCUCUUGGGAUCUCUGCCCAGAGUCCAAUCUCCCCUAAGGCGUGGUGCAGUGCUGUGCCCACACCUAGGCUCUGGGGGUGGGCACCCUUUGACUUUCCUCAUAUCAUUCCACCCUCGACACAUCCAAAUGUGAACACAUCUUCUCCACAAAGUGCCCCUUCACCACGCCAGUUCCCAGACACUUUAUUUCUUCCCUUGCCUAGAGUGCUGCCCCCAAAACCAGCCCCCCAUCAUUGGCCAUGUCCUUGCAGAGGCUGAACCAUCCCACAAUCUGUCAAGGAUAUCAGGGAAGAGCAUGAGCUGGAUAGACUUCAGGCUCUGCCAGCAGCUACAUUCUAGGGGUGCCCGGACGUCCUGGUCUCUUGAGAUGAGAUGGUCUUGUGUCUGGAAUUGGUCUCACUGACUAAAAGAAUAAAGCCGCAGACCUUCACAGUGAGUGUGACAGUUUUUAAAGAUGGUGUGUCUGGAGCUAGUUCCUUCAGAUGUUUGGACGUGUUCAGUUUCUUUCUGCUGGUGGGUUUGUGGUCUCGCUUGCUUCAGGAGUGGCUGCAGACCUUUGUAGUGAGUGUCACGAGCUCUUAAGGUGGUGCGCCUGGAGUUUCUCAUUCCUCCCAGUGGGUUUGCCAUCUCACUGCCUUUAAGGAGGGAAGCUGCAAAGCUUCGCGCAGUACGACAGUUUCCAAACAUGAUGCAAGCACAGCUUACCACGGUUGCCUCCGC